GAUGCACCUAGGCUCUUACCAUAAUAAAAUUUAUAUGUUUCGAUUUAAAUUACGGAUUAUCUAACUAAUAGCCCAUAUUAAUUAGUUGGAUAUUUCAUCAUCCAUUUGAUUGCAUGUAUUAAGUUUGGAUGAUAUUAAGAGUGAUAUUUUAUGUUUCCACAGUUUAUAAUGCCUCAUCUCUUUCGAAUCAAUUGUCUGCUAUUGAAACUUUGACUGGGAAUAACUGUGUGAGAUGGAAACGAGACGUAGAAAUAGCACUUAGUCUUUUGGGCUUGGAUUUUGUAAUGGAGAAAAAGUUUGAAAAACCUACAAAUAAGAGUACCGUUGAAUAUGUAGCCGAGCAUGAAAAGUGGGAAAGGGCUAACAAACUCUGUUUGAAAAUCAUUAAGCGAUCGAUAUCUGAUUCCAUCCUAGGUGCCAUCCCUGAUAAUGAAAAUAUCAAAAGUUUUAUGGAUGCCAUAGGAGAAAAAUUUGUUGAGUCUGAUAAAGCCGAAACUGGGGAUCUGAUGGAUAAAUUGAUGAGCAUGAGAUAUGAUGGCAUAAAUGGUGUUAGGGAGCAUGUCAUGAAAAUGAUAAAUAUAUCAUCUAAGUCAAAGGCUCUUGACAUUCCCAUUGCGGAGCCUUUCCUAGUCUAUCAUGUUUUGAAUAGCCUUCCUAGUAAGUUUAAUCAGUUUAAGGUUACUUACAAUGCUCAGUGGGAUAAAUGGAAUUUGAAUGACCUCAUAGCAGUGUGUGCCCAAGAAGAGUAUAGGAUGCACCGUGAAAAUGUUGAAACUGUACAAUUAGCUUUUCAACCAUCAUAGAAUAAGGGGCCUUCUCAUAAUCAUAAACCUAAGUUUCGUAAGGGUAAUAAGUCCCAUCGAAGUCAGCAGAAUAAAAAUUUUAGUGGUCCCAAAGUAGUUAUAAAGAAAAAUGAUCAAUGCAAGUUCUGUAAAAAGAAAUGUCACUGGUAGAAGGACUGUUUUAAGUUCAAGACUUGGUUGGAAAAGAAGAAGAGUUCUUCAGGUAUUCCCUUGGCCUUAGUUUGUUUUGAGUCUUCUUUAGUAGAUGUGCCUUUGAAUUCUUGGUGGUUAGACUCGGGAGCUAGUUUUCAUAUUGCGAAUUCCUUGCAGGGGUUCAUAAGCAAACGGAGGCCAAGGGAGAAUGAAGUAAGCUUGAGCGUUGCAAAUGGAUUCCAACUGAAGGUUGAAUUCAUAGGAGUAGUGAAGUUAACUUUAGAGUUUGGUUUUUAUAAAAAGAAAGGUCACUGGUAGAAAGACUAUUUUAAGUUCAAGACUUGGUUGGAAAAGAAGAAGAGUUCUUCAGGUAUUCCCUUGGCCUUAGUUUGUUUUGAGUCUUCUUUAGUAGAUGUGCCUUUGAAUUCUUGGUGGUUAGACUCGGGAGCUAGUAUUCAUAUUACGAAUUCCUUACAGGGGUUCAUAAGCAAACGGAGGCCAAGUGAGAAUGAAGUAAGCUUGAGCGUUGCAAAUGGAUUCCAAGUGAAGGUUGAAUUCAUAGGAGUAGUGAAAUUAACUUUAGAGUCUGGUUUUUAUCUUGUUUUGAAAAAUACAGUUUAUGUACCGCAGAUGAGACGGAAUUUAAUUCCUAUACCAAAACUUGAUGCUUGUGGUUUUACAUUUAAUUUUGGUAAUGGAAUGGUUAAGUUAUUUAAUGAUUCCCGUUUGAUUGGAAAUGACAUUUUAUGUGAUGGUUUAUAUAAAUUAUCUUUGGCUUCUUUUGGUGAUAUCUCGUGUGUUACAAAUGUAUCAAAGAAAAGGGCUUUAAUUCGUGAAUCAUCCUCUAUGUUGUGGCAUAAGCGAUUGGGUCGUAUUUCUAAAGAUAUAAUGGAAAGAUUAGUAAAAGAUGAGAUACUUCCUUCCUUAGACUUCUCCGAUUUUGACACCUGUAUAGAUUGUAUAAGAGGAAAGUUAACUAAGUCUACGAGGAAGGGUUCGACUAGGAGUAAUGGAAUUUUGGACUUAAUUCACAUUGAUAUCAGUGGAUCUUUGCUUUCCAUUAUAUGUGGGAAUAAAUAUUUCAUAACUUUCAUUGAUAAUUUCUUACGAUAUGGAUAUGUUUAUUUGAUUAACGACAAAUCACAUGCACUCGAGAAAUUCAAAGUUUUCAAACUGGAAGUAGAGAAACAAUGUGGGAAAAGUAUCGAAGUUGUAAGAUCUGACCGAGGUGGUGAGUACUAUGGAAAAUAUGACGAGUCUGGUCAAAAUAUGGGUGAUUUUGCAAAAUUUUUACAAGAGUGUGGAAUAGUGUCCCAAUACACCAUGCCAGGAACACCUUAGCGGAAUGGUGUUUCUGAAAAACGUAAUCGAACUGUAAAAGAUAUGGUUAGAAGUAUGAUAAGUAGAACAAAUUUGCCUGAAUAUUUGUGGGGUGAAGCCUUGAAAACAGCUAUGUAUAUUUUGAACAGAAUUCCAAGUAAAGCUGUUGCAAAGACACCUUUUGAAUUAUGGACAGGACGUAAGCCAAGUAUGGCUCACUUUAAAGUUUGGGGAUGUCCAGCUGAGGUUAGGAUUUAUAAUCCAUUUGAAAAGAAAUUAGACUCUAAAUCAGCUUCUGGCUACUUUAUUGGGUAUCCGGAUAGAUCAAAGGGAUAUAAGUUUUACUAUUCAAAUCGCAGCACUAGAAUUGUGGAGUCCAUUACUGCUAAAUUUCUGGAGAACGAUUUUGGAGAUAGUGGGAGUUUCACGUUGAGAGAAAUUCUUGUUGAACCUAAUCAAGUUGUAGUUCUAGUUCCUGUCAUACAGGAAAGAGUUGGUUCUCAACCAAUUGAAGUUGUUAAUGAAGAACAGAGGAACCAGGAAGAAUCUCCAAUUCCUCAAACAACGAUUGAAUCGGUUCCCGAGUCACAAUUUAGGAGAUCACAAAGGGAAAGAAGAUCUGCAUUGCCCAGUGAUUAUGUUACAUAUUCAUUGGAGAGCGAUUUUAAUAUUGGGCAUAUUGUUGAUCCUGUAACUUAUAAUCAAGCAUUGACAAGUCCUGAGGCAGAUAAAUGGAUAGCUGCCAUGGAAGAUGAAACGAAUUCCAUGGAAAGGAAUAAAGUUUGGGAUCUUGUUGAACUUCCUCCAGACGCUAAGGUUGUAGAUAACAAGUGGAUCUUCAAAAGUAAAUUAGAUUCAAAAGGAAAUGUUGAACGAAAGAAAGCAAGAUUGGUUGCAAAAGGUUUUACUCAACGAGAGGACAUUAAUUAUGUUGAAACCUUCUCCCCUGUUUCGUCGAAAGAUUCUUUUCGAAUUAUUAUGGCUCUUGUGGCACACUACAAUUUGGAGUUUCAUCAAAUGGAUGUUAACACAGCAUUUUUGAAUGGAGAUCUUUCUGAAAUGGUUUAUAUGAAACAACCUGAAGGUUUUGUUGUAAAAGGAAAAGAAAACUUGGUGUGUAAGUUAAACAAAUCCUUAUAUGGUCUCAAGCAAGUAUCUUGACAGUGGUAUUUGAAGUUUGAUGAGAUUGUGACAUCUCUUGGUUUUGUCGAAAAUAUUAUUGAUCAAUGCAUUUAUCUUAAAAUCAGUGGGAGAAAUUUUAUUUUCCUUGUACUGUAUGUUGAUGACAUUCUGCUUACUAGCAAUAACUUAGAACUGCUUCAUGAGACAAAGAAAAUGUUGUCUUCUAAUUUUGAGAUGAAAGAUCUUGGAGAAACUUCCUAUGUACUUGGCAUUGAAAUACAUCGUGAUAGAAAUCGUGGCUUAUUGGGACUUUCUCAGAAAGUUUAUAUACGACGUGUUCUAGAAAGGUUUAAUAUGCAGAAUUGUGCACCUGGUGAUGUACCUAUCAUCAAAGGAGAUAAGUUUAACAAAACUCAAUGUCUAAGGAAUGAGCUGGAAAGGGAGUCUAUGAAGAUGAUCCCAUAUGCUAGUGCUGUGGGGAGCUUGAUGUAUGUUCAAGUUUGCACUAGAUCGGAUAUAGCAUACACAGUAAGUGUCCUUAGCAGAUUUCAGUCUAAUCCAGGACAAGAGCAUUGGAAAGCAGCUAAGAAAGUUAUGAGAUAUUUGAAGAAAACUGAAGGUUAUAUGCUUACAUUCCAACAUACAAAUCAUCUUGAGGUAGUAGGAUAUUCAGAUUCAGAUUUUGUUGGAUGUCAAGAUGAUUUGAAAUCAACCUCAGGUUACAUUUUUACAUUAGCUGGUGGUGCCAUUUCUUGGAAAAGUGCUAAACAGACUCUAGUGGCAUUUUCUACUAUGCAAGCUGAAUUUGUGGCAUGUUAUGGGGCUACAGUCCAAGCCGUUUAGUUAAAAAAUUUCAUCUCUGGCUUGAAAGUUGUUAAUUUCAUCUCAAGACCGAUCACCAUCUACUGUGAUAACAGUGCAGCAGUAUUCUUUUCAAAGAAUAAUAAAAAUUUUGGUGGAUCAAAACAUAUUGACAUCAAAUAUUUGGUUGUUAGAGACGGAGUCAAAGAAGGGCAGAUGAAAAUAGAGCAUAUCAAUACAGAGGCGAUGGUUGCAGAUCCCUUGAAUAAGGGACUCGCUCCAAAAGUCUUUAAGACACAUGUUACUAAUAUGGGUAUUGUGGAAACAUUUGAUAUUUUUGGUUAGUGAGAUUUAUUUAUGUAAAGAACUACGUUUUGGGCUUGAUCCCUUGCGGGGUACGUAGGCAACCCAUAUUUUUUGGGUACAGCCCCUUCUGAUAAUAAAAUAAUUUUUUUCCUAUCCAUGAACUAUUUUAAGCAUGCAUUUGACUUAUAUCUUUUUAUAUUAUUGGUAUCUUGAAAUAUGACGUAUAAAGACAUAAGAUGAGUCUCUUUUUAGAGACAUGUGCCUUCAUUUUUAUUCGAAGCAUUAUGAGGACCGAUAUGAGUUAGCACAGUUUUUUAUCACAUUUGGUGCUAAGUUCAUACCACAUACUACCACAUUGGUUGGAGGAUGGGGAUCCAUGUUGAUAAGGAUGUUGACAUCUGUAGCUGUGGAAUGGUCUUACAUCUCUUAAAUUGGUGUAAUGACUUCCAUGUUAGGUUUUAAUAUUCUUGUUGGACCGGAUCAUGUUACGUAAGGUGUCAUCAUUGAAGCUAUACUUUUGUGGCCACCUAUGUAGUCUAACCCGGGUGUUAAAACUUUGUUAUGGCAAUCAAAUGUUUGCCCAAGUGGUAGAAUGUUGGAAUAAUUAAUUAUUUCAUAUGUGGGUUUUACAUUGGAUUGCAAAUUUUACGGGUUAGAUGUAUGACUCAUAAUGAUAUUUGUGUUUGGACCAAAUUUAUUAAGUGAUCAAUUGGGCAUUUUACACCUUACGGGUUGUAAUUAAUUUUAUGUGGUAGUUUAAAGUAUGUGGAUCGGAAAUAAACACUAAUUAGAAUUCUAGUCGUAAUGGGACUACUCAAAUUAUUUCCUAUAUGUAAAGGUUAGGUCCCCUCUCCUCUCCAUAUGUUUAUUGGUUUGCCUCAUUGAUAGCUGAUUUUUGUGAGAAGUAAGGAGGGGAAGAUUUUGGUUGCUAUUACAACUACUAUUCAUAUCAACAAUGGCUUCCGUAAGUAUGAAUUCAUUUCUAUUAAUUUAUUGAAUUGUGAUUAUCGAUUCUUAACAUGAUUAAAACUAAGGAUUAACAAUUUUAGCCGAGCAAUUUUUUAAAUUUCAUUGUUAGGUUAAUUAGCUGCAUAGUGGUUGUUUGAUUGCUACAAAUGAUCUUGGUAUGUUGCAUGAGACCAAGAAAUUUCUCUCUAAGAACUUUGAAAUGAAAGACAUGAGAGCGGCAAACUAUGGGAUAGGAAUAGAAAUAUUCCGAGACAGAUCACAAGGAAUGUUAGGGUUGUCUCAAAAAUCAUACAAUAAUAAAGUUUUAGAGAGAUUCAAGAUGGAGAACUGCUUUGCAAGAGUUGUUUCAAUUUAGAAAGGAAACAAAUUCAAUCUUAUGCAAAAUCCAAAGAAUGAAUUGGAAGACACACUUAAGGUUUCAGAAAUAGAAUUUGUAACCUAAAGCUUUUCUCUUACUAAACUUACGAAGAAAUUGAGGAAAUUUUCAUUAUUACUUCGGCACGGCUUGAGGUUUGUUUUGUUAAAAACUCGUAAAAUAGAAUACUUACUUCCAGUUUGACAAGGUUUUUGAAAAGUCAAAAGUUACUUUUGGAUAUUUUUUGUAACGAUCCAAUCUUUGUGUCCAAGCAAUUAACUUAUGUACUGCCCACUCUUGGAAAGCCUAAGAUCAUCUUACCGCUUAUGGAUUUCUAUUGCGUCCUUAGGAUUCGAACUCUUAACCUACUUAAGUGUCUCACUAGACAAAGGUCUUGGAUUUCAAUCCUGAAGGACACGAUAGAAAGCUAUGAGGGGAUAAGUGGGCAGAUGACCACUUAAAGCGGACAGUACGCAUGAUAUAACGGUUCUGGCAUAGAGGUCGCAUCGUUGCAAAAAAAAAGGCACAUUUUUUAACAAGCAGCUUCUAUGUUGAAGUUGUUAAACUUUUGUACAGUCUGCUCUAGGAGAGGAAACCCAUAUUUCUCUCACAGAUUUCUAUCACGUCCUCAGGAUUGAAACCCACGACUUUCCAUUAAGAGAGAUUUAAAUUGAAUAUUGGUACCAAUUGAAGAAGUAAGUUUAACGGCUUGAGCAUAGAGGCUAUGUUACACUUUUCUGGAAGCAUUUAUUUGGCUACAAUAUCUUUUUAAAAUAAGUUGACCAAAGAUAGCUUGUUGAGGAAGCUUUUCUAUAAGAAGCAGGGAAAAAGCCUUGUCAAACAGUCUCUUAAUAUGUUAAAAUGGCAUCUACAUGGCAUCGAGUAAAUAACUUAAAAAUUAAGGUUAAACCUCUAGUCUUCAGCAGGAGCAAGAACGGCUUCGUGUGGAUGAUAUUCAAAGGCCACAUUUGAGAGGGGUGAAACUUGGAGGUUGAUCAGACGCUCGUGAUUGAUCGUGAAGUAGUUGCCACCAUGAGUGAGUGUUCUCUCUUUUUGUGUAGAAAAUGGAAAUAUGUGUGGAGCAUUUUGGGUGUUAAAUUUGGGAUGGAAUUUUUAUUUUAUUUUAUUUUUAUUUAUUUAUUUAUUAUUAUUAUUUUUACAAUCUAGCAUUAUAAAAUUAUUAGGUAAAUAUUAUUUUUGAAUUUUAAAUUAAUAUAUUUUUAAAUAUUUUAUAAAAUCAAGAUUAGGACAUGGAUAACAAUAUUUGUUAAAUCAGUAAAAACUUUUUCAAUGAUUUUAUUGAUUUGACUAUGAAAUAAGUAAAUAAUUUAUUUUUAGGCUGAUGUUAAUAACUAACGUCUUUUACAAGUAAGAAAAAUAUAAACAUAGAUAUAAUAAAAAAUUACUUUAAAUAGAUCUAAUUUAACGAUAAGUUUGGGAGGUCAUCACAUUUGUUGUGCAUUGAAUCAAAUAUGCACUUCACAAUUCAAGCUAUCUUUAUUUACAUAUUUUACUGAUGCCAAUUUGAUUAUGGACAAUGUGAAUGUUAAUCUAUACGAUUGUUUCAGAUUCUGGAAAGACACUGAACCAGCCCUGGGAAUCAGUUACAAUUGUUGAUGACAAUACAAGAAAGAAACUUAAUGAAAUAGAACCUCACGGAAGUGAUCUUGCCAGCCAUGAUGGAGUAUGAUUCGAUCCCUCGUAGCAUAUGAAAAUUGAAAGUACCACAUUACUUCACUUCUUUUACAAAUACAUAUGUGUUCUGUUCCAUUUCAUUCUAUAUAAUUCUAGCCAACUGCUCAAAUUUAAGUGCUAUGCAUAUUCUUCUGGAUGAUGAUUGAUGUGUUCCUGAACAACAUUAAUAUGUGAUGUACAUAUUUGAUUGAUGGUCAAAGUUUUUGUUCAUUUUUUUCUCUCUUGGUAGAGGGCUUCUGAUGAAUGGAAUUUGUUGGUUGUUGCUCUUAUGCUUGACCCCCUGCUUAACACUAUUCCUAUUAGUUGUCUAUGAAAGGUCUGGUAACAAAAUUGAGGAAAUUGCACCAAAAUAAUGAUGAUGAUGAUCAAAACAUGUCAAUCUAUAAAUCCACCAGGUACACUAUCUUUCCAAGCUUAUCUUAACAGUUUUAACCAUUAAUGGUACGCAAUAACAGUUAUGGCUUUGCUUCAUAAAUUCUACUAUCGAAGUUUUCAUACUGUCAUAAAUUUCAAAAUGCAGAUUUUUUGAGCUUUCUUGAGAAAACUUGUUAGUUUCAAGACAUGCCAAGUGAUGUCGUACCUUAUUAUCUAUUUUUAAGCUUUUGUGGUUCAUUAUCGCAGAGUUCUGGAAAAGAUAAGAGUUAAAAGAUCAGUUGAGGAUGAUUUAGUGAAACAGCUAAUAGAGUUAUCUAUGAAGACGCAUUAUACACAUUGGAUGCCAAAAGACAAGAAACUAAAAGAUUGCAGAUGGGAUUAUGUAUGUUACUUUAUUACCCAUAUAUGGUCUGUAGAAAUCAAAUCUUAAUCCCUCUUACCUUAUGUAUCAAAUAACCAAUCUGCAGGAGGAUUACCUCUGCCCGAAUCACAAUGCUGAUAAAUUACUGAGGCAGCAAUCCUAAUCUAGAAUGUUUGGGAGUGAAGUGAAGGAUUCCAUGCCGGCUCAAAUGUAUGGAGAUCUUUUUAUUGUUAUCCUUUUAUGAGUUGACCUCUUAUCCAGCAGUUAGUAAUCUAAUUAUUCUCCUGAACAUAUGGUUUAUUUUGGUAAAAUCUUACUAGACUCAUUUCCAAACUUUUGUUCACUUGUUUUACUCAAGGUGUAGGACAAGAAAAGAGAUAUGUUGCCUUCAUGCCCUGAUGUGUCCAUGCUU
Molecule: long non-coding RNA, 8651 nt
Filed under: Olea europaea subsp. europaea
Lineage: Eukaryota; Viridiplantae; Streptophyta; Magnoliopsida; Lamiales; Oleaceae
Source: RNAcentral